CCUUACACAUGCAAGUAUCUGCACACCCGUGAGAACGCCCUCCACCCUCACCCAGGAAGAGGAGCCGGUAUCAGGCACACACUAAGCCCACAACACCUAGCUACGCCACACCCACAAGGGUACUCAGCAGUGAUAAACAUUGACCUUAAGCGCCAGCUUGAAUCAGCCGGGGUAAAGAGAGCCGGCAAAUCCGGUGCCAGCCGCCGCGGCUACACCAUAGGCCCAAGUUGAUGCACUCCGGCGUUAAGCGUGGUUAAAGUCACACUAUAAAUUAGAACCAAACUUCAACCAAGUUGUGACACACUUGUUACCAGAAGCCCAUAAACGAAAGUUAUUCUAACCAACCCAAUUGACGCCACGACAAUUAGAGCACAAACUGGGAUUAGGUACCCCACUAUGUCUAACUGUAAAACAUUCACUUACACCAAAACCGCCUAGAAAUUACGAGCUAAAGCUUAAAACCUAAAGGACUUGACGGUGCCCCACCCACCUAGAGGAGCCUGUUCUGUAAUCGAUUCCCCCCGAUAAACCUCACCACUUCUAGCCUCCAGCCUGUAUACCUCCGUCGUAAGCUUACCAUGUGAACGAACCUAGUGAGCCCGAAGGUCACCACCCAUACGUCAGGUCAAGGUGCAGCUAACGAACUGGGAAGAAAUGGGCUACAGUCUCUACCUUAGAACCACGAAAGGCUACAUGAUAACGCAGCCUGAAGGCGGAUUUAGCAGUAAAAAGAAAAUAGAGAGUUCUUUUUAACCAGGCGCUGGGACGCGUACACACCGCCCGUCACCCUCUUCACAUAC
Molecule: non-coding RNA, 800 nt
Filed under: Chiasmocleis parkeri
Lineage: Eukaryota; Metazoa; Chordata; Amphibia; Anura; Microhylidae
Description: partial small subunit ribosomal RNA
Rfam family: Bacterial small subunit ribosomal RNA
Source: RNAcentral